UAUAUACAAACGGAAUUUGAAUUUGUGGAAAUGAAUUCUAGAAGAGAGGUGUUCGGCCAAUAGACAGAUAACACUAAAGCAUUGUCAUUCCAGGUAAAGAGGGCCUUGCAGCAGGAAGGAUUCAACCGGAAAAAGCGAGGAUACAGAGACAUCAACGAAAUCGACAUCAACGUGAACGACCCUCUUUUCACAAAGCAAUGGUACCUGAUCAAUACUGGGCAAGCUGAUGGUACUCCCGGUCUCGACUUGAAUGUGGCAGAAGCCUGGGAGCUGGGAUACACAGGGAAAGGUGUUACCAUUGGAAUUAUGGAUGAUGGAAUUGACUAUCUCCACCCGGACCUGGCCUCGAACUACCCGUCUGGUCUUGCCUCAGCUUCCGGUACCUGUUGCUCUUCUUUGGAGGAUUGCCCCGGGGCUCCUGGAACCUGCCCUGCCCUUCUUACGCGGAGAGCUGGUGAGUCCGGGAAUGUCCAUCCGGUCUUGGCACACCCGUUAAUCCUCAGCUGCCUACAGGAGCUUGAAGGCCUUGUCCCAGGUUGGGAAAACGCUGGGCUGUAACCAACCCUCCGGGGCCCCCUGCUGGACGCGCCUGAAAUCGCACCCAGGUUUGGCUUCCUCGCCUGUUCCAGGCUGCUUCCACUCCCACUCUCCAUCACUGGUUUCCCCUGGGAGCACAUCUUUAAUAAAUCACUUGCCCACAAGCCUUCAUCUCAGAGUCUGUGUUGGAAUCCUGACCUGCUUACAUUUGAACAGUCUGGAGCUUCAGGCAAAACAGCAUUUUCCAUCCUGCAUGGCCAAGGCAGAGGAAAUCUCUGACGUAGCAAUAAGAUUAGCUUCUCAACCAUGGUAACCCUGCUGGCUCCCGAUCUACGGGAAAUUAUUUUUCACAAAGAAAGAACCAGUAAUUACUAACCGAUAUUUAAAACCUGAAGCCAAGUGCAGGACGCCGGGCUUGGCUUGGAGUCGUGUUGCUCACCACCGUCCCCUGGACGGCAGGGAGGUCUGUACCUUGAACAUCGGGCACACAGCCCCUCCACACUGAGUGCUCUGCUGGGCGGAAGAAUAGGAUGUAUUACAGUGUGUGGGAGAUAUUUUCAUUAAGCUAUGGAAAUAGGAGGCUUAUGUUUUAUAGCUCAAAUGUUGCCAAUUUUUUAAAGAGGUUUAGUGUAAAUCUCAGCUAUUCAAGGAACCCCAGCUCGAGGGAUCCCACUGAAUCACUGUGAGCAAAUAAUGCCUCCUUCGAUCUUUGUGGUCCUCCAUUUCACCCUCUGUAAAUCAGGGGUGACCAUCUUCCCUGCUUCAGAAUCAAAGGAUUAUAGUGAUUGUCCAUAUUACUGAUAAGAACAGUGGGUCUUUGCCCAUCUAUCCAAAAGUAUACACUGAACUCCUCAGAGCUGCCGCAGGCAUGGAUACCCAUCUGGUGCUGAACUUUGGCCUAUCUCCACCAUCCCCCACAAACACACUCACACAUGUUCUCUCUUGUACUUGUAGAAAAUGUUCCAGAAGACUCAGCAGGAAGGAGCCAGUGCCUGUGGGUGCCAGCAUGGUGACCAGGCAGGCAAUGAGUCACUGGAUACAGUCAGUACCAUGUUGGGAUUCUUCC
This is a long non-coding RNA of Capra hircus (goat), 1603 nucleotides long. The record is from Ensembl. Lineage: Eukaryota; Metazoa; Chordata; Mammalia; Artiodactyla; Bovidae.